RNAcentral lists this ribosomal RNA (1442 nucleotides) under uncultured Bordetella sp. RNAcentral describes it as "partial 16S-23S ribosomal RNA intergenic spacer". It matches the Rfam family "Bacterial small subunit ribosomal RNA". The record is from RNAcentral. Lineage: Bacteria; Pseudomonadati; Pseudomonadota; Betaproteobacteria; Burkholderiales; Alcaligenaceae.
GUUUGAUCAUGGCUCAGAUUGAACGCUGGCGGGAUGCUUUACACAUGCAAGUCGAACGGCAGCACGGACUUUAUCGGUCUGGUGGCGAGUGGCGAACAGGUGAGUAAUGUAUCGGAACGUGCUAGUAGCAGGGGAUAACUACGCGAAAGCGUAGCUAAUACCAUACGCCCUUCGGGGAAAGCGGGGGACCUUCGGGCCUGCGCACUAUUAGAGCAGCCGAUAUCGGAUUAGCUAGUUGGUGGGGGUAACGGCUCACCAAGGCGACGAUCCGUAGCUGGUUUGAGAGGACGACCAGCCACACUGGGACUGAGACACGACCCAGACUCCUACGGGAGGCAGCAGUGGGAAUUUUGGACAAUGGGGAAACCUGAUCCAGCCAUCCAUGAAGCGUGUGCGAUGAAGGCCUUCGGGUUGUAAAGCACUUUUGGCAGGAAAGAAACGGCACGGGAUAAUACCCCGUGCAACUGACGGUACCUGCAAGAAUAAGCACCAGUAACUACGUGCCAGCAGCCGCGGUAAUACGUAGGGUGCAAGCGUUAAUCGGAAUUGCAGGCGUAAAGCGUGCGCAGGCGGUUCGGAAGAAAGAUGUGAAAUCCCAGAGCUUAACUUUGGAACUGCAUUUUUAACUACCGAGCUAGGAGUGUGUCAGAGAGUGGAAUUCCGCGUGUAGCAGUGAAAUGCGUAGAUAUGCGGAGGAACACCGAUGGCGAAGGCAGCCUCCUGGGAUAACACUGACGCUCAUGCACGAAAGCGUGGGAGCAAACAGGAUUAGAUGCCCUGGUAGUCCACGCCUAAACGAUGUCAACUAGCUGUUGGGGCCUUCGGGCCUUGGUAGCGCAGCUAACGCGUGAAGUUGACCGCCUGGGGAGUACGGUCGCAAGAUUAAAACUCAAAGGAAUUGCAGUGGAUGAUGUGGAUUAAUUCGAUGCAACGCGAAAAACCUUACCUACCCUUGACGUGUCUGGAAUCGAAGAGAUUUGGGAGUGCUCGCAAGAGAACCGGAACACAGGUGCUGCAUGGCUGUCGUCAGCUCGUGUCGUGAGAUGUUGGGUUAAGUCCUGGCGAGCGCAACCCCCUUGUCAUUAGUUGCCGAAGGCACUCUUAAAUGGAGACUCCGCCGGUGACCAAAACCGGUGGAUGAGAUGACGUCAGUCUCAUGGCUACCAUGGUGGGCUUCGUCAUGCAAUGCAGGCCGGACGGGUAGCCAUGCGGAGGGCCAAUCCAGAACCGAUCGCCGUCGGAUCGCGGUCUGAUGUUGCGAGUGAAUCGCCAGUAAUCAUGAGAUCCGGCAUGCCGCUGUUGAUACGUUCAGGUCUUGCCUUUUAUCCCGUACGCAUGGGAAUGGGUUCACCAAGUAGUGCCCAACCGUAAGGCUACCGAUGGUCGCAGCAGGUUUGGCGAUCAUCUAUAAAGGUGUCUGUUCUGAUAUCGGAGCACGUGUU